This 448-nucleotide ribosomal RNA is filed under the name uncultured Bdellovibrio sp. RNAcentral's name for it is "bacterial SSU rRNA". It matches the Rfam family "Bacterial small subunit ribosomal RNA", at positions 336 to 798 of the family's 1533-position model. Lineage: Bacteria; Pseudomonadati; Bdellovibrionota; Bdellovibrionia; Bdellovibrionales; Pseudobdellovibrionaceae. The record is from RNAcentral.
UUCCUACGGGAGGCUGCAGUAGGGAAUAUUGCACAAUGGAGGAAACUCUGAUGCAGCGACGCCGCGUGAGUGACGAAGGCCUUCGGGUUGUAAAGCUCUGUUCUUAGGGAAAAAGAAAGUGAUUGUACCUAAGGAGAAAGGACCGGCUAACUUCGUGCCAGCAGCCGCGGUAAGACGAGGGGUCCAAGCGUUGUUCGGAAUCAUUGGGCGUAAAGCGGGUGUAGGUGGCUCUGUAAGUCAGGAGUGAAAGCCCCGAGCUUAACUCGGGAAGUGCUUUUGAUACUGCAGAGCUUGAGUGUGGGAGAGGAUCGUGGAAUUCCAGGUGUAGUGGUGAAAUACGUAGAUAUCUGGAGGAACACCGGUGGCGAAGGCGGCGAUCUGGCCCAACACUGACACUGAGACCCGAAAGCAUGGGGAUCAAACAGGAUUAGAUACCCCAGUAGUCCGU